Unclassified non-coding RNA from Propithecus coquereli (Coquerel's sifaka), 102 nucleotides. It matches the Rfam family "Y RNA". Rfam says of the family: Y RNAs are components of the Ro ribonucleoprotein particle (Ro RNP), in association with Ro60 and La proteins. The Y RNAs and Ro60 and La proteins are well conserved, but the function of the Ro RNP is not known. The record is from Ensembl. Lineage: Eukaryota; Metazoa; Chordata; Mammalia; Primates; Indriidae.
GGCUGGUCUGAGUGCAGUGGUGUUUACAACUAAUUGAUCACAACCAGUUACAGAUUCCUUUAUUCCUUUUCCACUCCCAUUGCUUCACUUGCCCAGCCUUAA